Molecule: ribosomal RNA, 94 nt
Filed under: Desulfobulbus sp.
Lineage: Bacteria; Pseudomonadati; Thermodesulfobacteriota; Desulfobulbia; Desulfobulbales; Desulfobulbaceae
Source: RNAcentral
UCCACCCGUUCCCAUUCCGAACACGGAAGUUAAGCUCCUCAGCGCCGAUGGUACUGCACGGGAGACUGUGUGGGAGAGUAGGUCGCCGCCGAAU